This 2142-nucleotide ribosomal RNA is filed under the name Salmonella enterica subsp. enterica serovar Enteritidis. RNAcentral describes it as "partial 23S ribosomal RNA". It matches the Rfam family "Bacterial large subunit ribosomal RNA", at positions 707 to 2826 of the family's 2925-position model. Lineage: Bacteria; Pseudomonadati; Pseudomonadota; Gammaproteobacteria; Enterobacterales; Enterobacteriaceae. The record is from RNAcentral.
GUAUAGACCCGAAACCCGGUGAUCUAGCCAUGGGCAGGUUGAAGGUUGGGUAACACUAACUGGAGGACCGAACCGACUAAUGUUGAAAAAUUAGCGGAUGACCUGUGGCUGGGGGUGAAAGGCCAAUCAAACCGGGAGAUAGCUGGUUCUCCCCGAAAGCUAUUUAGGUAGCGCCUCGUGAAUUCAUCUCCGGGGGUAGAGCACUGUUUCGGCUAGGGGGCCAUCCCGGCUUACCAACCCGAUGCAAACUGCGAAUACCGGAGAAUGUUAUCACGGGAGACACACGGCGGGUGCUAACGUCCGUCGUGAAGAGGGAAACAACCCAGACCGCCAGCUAAGGUCCCAAAGUCAUGGUUAAGUGGGAAACGAUGUGGGAAGGCCCAGACAGCCAGGAUGUUGGCUUAGAAGCAGCCAUCAUUUAAAGAAAGCGUAAUAGCUCACUGGUCGAGUCGGCCUGCGCGGAAGAUGUAACGGGGCUAAACCAUGCACCGAAGCUGCGGCAGCGACACUGUGUGUUGUUGGGUAGGGGAGCGUUCUGUAAGCCUGUGAAGGUGUGUCGUGAGGCAUGCUGGAGGUAUCAGAAGUGCGAAUGCUGACAUAAGUAACGAUAAAGCGGGUGAAAAGCCCGCUCGCCGGAAGACCAAGGGUUCCUGUCCAACGUUAAUCGGGGCAGGGUGAGUCGACCCCUAAGGCGAGGCCGAAAGGCGUAGUCGAUGGGAAACGGGUUAAUAUUCCCGUACUUGGUGUUACUGCGAAGGGGGGACGGAGAAGGCUAUGUUGGCCGGGCGACGGUUGUCCCGGUUUAAGCGUGUAGGUGUGUGUUCCAGGUAAAUCCGGUUCACUUUAACACUGAGGCGUGACGACGAGGCACUACGGUGCUGAAGCAACAAAUGCCCUGCUUCCAGGAAAAGCCUCUAAGCAUCAGGUAACAUCAAAUCGUACCCCAAACCGACACAGGUGGUCAGGUAGAGAAUACCAAGGCGCUUGAGAGAACUCGGGUGAAGGAACUAGGCAAAAUGGUGCCGUAACUUCGGGAGAAGGCACGCUGACACGUAGGUGAAGUGAUUUACUCAUGGAGCUGAAGUCAGUCGAAGAUACCAGCUGGCUGCAACUGUUUAUUAAAAACACAGCACUGUGCAAACACGAAAGUGGACGUAUACGGUGUGACGCCUGCCCGGUGCCGGAAGGUUAAUUGAUGGGGUCAGCGCAAGCGAAGCUCCUGAUCGAAGCCCCGGUAAACGGCGGCCGUAACUAUAACGGUCCUAAGGUAGCGAAAUUCCUUGUCGGGUAAGUUCCGACCUGCACGAAUGGCGUAAUGAUGGCCAGGCUGUCUCCACCCGAGACUCAGUGAAAUUGAACUCGCUGUGAAGAUGCAGUGUACCCGCGGCAAGACGGAAAGACCCCGUGAACCUUUACUAUAGCUUGACACUGAACAUUGAGCCUUGAUGUGUAGGAUAGGUGGGAGGCUUUGAAGUGUGGACGCCAGUCUGCAUGGAGCCGACCUUGAAAUACCACCCUUUAAUGUUUGAUGUUCUAACGUGGACCCGUUACCCGGGUUGCGGACAGUGUCUGGUGGGUAGUUUGACUGGGGCGGUCUCCUCCUAAAGAGUAACGGAGGAGCACGAAGGUUGGCUAAUCCUGGUCGGACAUCAGGAGGUUAGUGCAAUGGCAUAAGCCAGCUUGACUGCGAGCGUGACGGCGCGAGCAGGUGCGAAAGCAGGUCAUAGUGAUCCGGUGGUUCUGAAUGGAAGGGCCAUCGCUCAACGGAUAAAAGGUACUCCGGGGAUAACAGGCUGAUACCGCCCAAGAGUUCAUAUCGACGGCGGUGUUUGGCACCUCGAUGUCGGCUCAUCACAUCCUGGGGCUGAAGUAGGUCCCAAGGGUAUGGCUGUUCGCCAUUUAAAGUGGUACGCGAGCUGGGUUUAGAACGUCGUGAGACAGUUCGGUCCCUAUCUGCCGUGGGCGCUGGAGAACUGAGGGGGGCUGCUCCUAGUACGAGAGGACCGGAGUGGACGCAUCACUGGUGUUCGGGUUGUCAUGCCAAUGGCACUGCCCGGUAGCUAAAUGCGGAAGAGAUAAGUGCUGAAAGCAUCUAAGCACGAAACUUGCCCCGAGAUGAGUUCUCCCUGAGACUUAAAGUCU